RNAcentral lists this unclassified non-coding RNA (334 nucleotides) under soil metagenome. RNAcentral describes it as "partial contains 5.8S ribosomal RNA, internal transcribed spacer 2, and large subunit ribosomal RNA". The stretch from base 1 to 120 matches the Rfam family "5.8S ribosomal RNA", at positions 35 to 154 of the family's 154-position model. The record is from RNAcentral.
GAUGAAGAACGUAGCGAAAUGCGAUAAGUAAUGUGAAUUGCAGAAUUCAGUGAAUCAUCGAAUCUUUGAACGCACAUUGCGCCCGCCAGUAUUCUGGCGAGCAUGCCUGUUCGAGCGUCAUUUCAACCAUCAAGCCCCCGGCUUGUGUUGGGGACCUGCGGCUGCCGCAGGCCCUGAAAUGCAGUGGCGGGCUCGCUGUCACUCCGAGCGUAGUAGUUACAUCUCGCUCUGGGCGUGCUGCGGGUUCCGGCCGUUAAAAGCCUUAUUUACCCAAGGUUGACCUCGGAUCAGGUAGGAAGACCCGCUGAACUUAAGCAUAUCAAUAAGCGGAGGA